UACCGUGAAACUGCGAAUGGCUCAUUAAAUCAGUUAUCGUUUAUUUGAUAGUACCUUACUACUUGGAUAACCGUGGUAAUUCUAGAGCUAAUACAUGCUGAAAACCCCAACUUCGGGAGGGGUGUAUUUAUUAGAUAAAAAACCAACGCCCUUCGGGGCUUCUUGGUGAUUCAUGAUAACUUUACGGAUCGCAUGGCCUUGCGCCGGCGACGGUUCAUUCAAAUUUCUGCCCUAUCAACUUUCGAUGGUAAGGUAUUGGCUUACCAUGGUUUCAACGGGUAACGGGGAAUUAGGGUUCGAUUCCGGAGAGGGAGCCUGAGAAACGGCUACCACAUCCAAGGAAGGCAGCAGGCGCGCAAAUUACCCAAUCCCGACACGGGGAGGUAGUGACAAUAAAUACUGAUACAGGGCUCUUUUGGGUCUUGUAAUUGGAAUGAGUACAAUUUAAACCUCUUAACGAGGAACAAUUGGAGGGCAAGUCUGGUGCCAGCAGCCGCGGUAAUUCCAGCUCCAAUAGCGUAUAUUAAAGUUGUUGCAGUUAAAAAGCUCGUAGUUGAAACUUGGGUCUGGCUGGCAGGUCCGCCUCACCGCGUGUACUUGUCCGGCCGGGCCUUCCUUCUGGAGAACCUCAUGCCCUUCACUGGGCGUGUUGGGGACCAGGACUUUUACUUUGAAAAAAUUAGAGUGUUCAAAGCAGGCCUUUGCUCGAAUACGUUAGCAUGGAAUAAUAGAAUAGGACGUGCGGUCCUAUUUUGUUGGUUUCUAGGACCGCCGUAAUGAUUAAUAGGGACAGUCGGGGGCAUCAGUAUUCAAUUGUCAGAGGUGAAUUCUUGGAUUAUUGAAGACUAACUACUGCGAAAGCAUUUGCCAAGGAUGUUUCAUUAAUCAGUGAACGAAAGUUA
Molecule: ribosomal RNA, 902 nt
Filed under: Neophaeosphaeria sp. FW1SW2
Lineage: Eukaryota; Fungi; Ascomycota; Dothideomycetes; Pleosporales; Neophaeosphaeriaceae
Description: SSU rRNA
Rfam family: Eukaryotic small subunit ribosomal RNA
Source: RNAcentral